This is a long non-coding RNA of Athene cunicularia (burrowing owl), 1815 nucleotides long. RefSeq lists it as uncharacterized. NCBI's taxonomy places the organism in Eukaryota, Metazoa, Chordata, Aves, Strigiformes, Strigidae. The record is from RefSeq and is a predicted model, not a curated record. The transcript has 3 exons.
UCUUCCUUUGGCCCAUAAGAGGGGAUUGGGCAGGUGGGCUGCCUCCUUGGAAUUGCCUUGUAAAUAGAGCAGCACCAACGGUGUUGGCAGAGGCUGGAAGUUUUCAGAGUUGGGAAAAUGUGUUCAUUGCCUUUGGGUGCAUUGCAAGGAAAGUCCACUAGUUGCAUCAGAGGACUUUGUCUGAAGGCACAACUGAGAUGAACUUACAAAAGAGCCACUGAGUUUGGUCUUGUCAUUGUUUUUGAAUGGGAAAUCUGUCCUCAUACGAUUUUCUGGGUUUGUGUUGAGAACAUUUGCAUUCUCAUUUUUGCCCCUUCUCCUCCUUCACUGUGAAUUUUUUGAGCACCAUUUCACCUGUUUCUCUUCAUAAGGACUGUCACUCCAUGUAUAAUAACAGAUUGCUUGUGUGUAGGCCGUGUAGCAUGGAAUAUCUGGGAACCCUCACAUUGUGUUUUUCUGCAAUUAUUAUAUGUAUCAUCAUAAACCCGUAUACGCUUGUGUGUGAAAGUGAAAUAAAGAGAACACCUGAAUGUCCUGUGGUCUUUGUAGAUAUGUUCUUCCUGGGAAAGCUCUCUCAAGUUUUUUAAAAGGAUGGGUUAUUUUUCUUAUUUUCUCCCUUGGGCCUGUGUGUUCAAAAGUCUGCAAAGUAGUGAGGUGGGGAACCAUCCUUCCUAAAUCUCCCAACAGCUCCAGGUGCACAUGGCAGCUGUGAGGUGUUUGAACACAAAGUAUUUUGAUUUUAAAAGUUUUGGGGGAUGGAUGACACAAAGACACAAUACAUUAUCAUUUGGUGUUGUAUUUGAGGGAGCUCUAGGAAGUUAUCAUUUAGUGAGCUAAAUCUGCUACCCAGGUGAGGAUUCCCUCUCAGGAAAUGCAGAGGACUACAGCUGUCCCUUCCACAAAGGCCUUAAAAAAAAGGUAAGUGCUGAGAAAAGGCUGUUGUAGUGAUGCUGACCAGAAGACAGUUGUACAUCAAGAAGAGAAUAGCCCAUUGCUCAGUCAACUUGAUUAGAAUCAUUUAGGUUGGUAAAGAUCCUUGAGACCAUCAAGUCCACCCCUUAACCUAACACUACCAAAUCCACCACUAAACCAUGUCCCUGUGCACCAUGUGCAGGGACAGUUACUCAACCACUUUCCUGGGCAGCCUCUGUCAAUGUUUGACAACCCUCUGUGUGAAGAAAUUUUUCCCAAAUUCCAAUCUAAACCUCCCCUGGCCCAACCUGAGGCCAUUUACUUUUGUCCUAUCACUUCUAACUUGGGAAAGGGGACCAACACCCACCUUCUUACAAUCUCCUUUCAGGCACAGGCCUGUGCUGUGCUGUGUUGUGUUUCACAAAUCCCUGGGUAGCAGGAUAAGCUCAGCUAGCUCACUAUAACCAAAGGACCUGCAGGCAGCUCCCACUUGGUCCUGGAGAGAAAGAUACCUGAGAGCAAGAUGUCCACAGGGAACCUUCUUUUACUGGGACAGUAGAAAUGAUGAGUAGAAUUGCUGUCCUGCAGGAAAGGCCUGUAAUGGUUUGAAUGGCUGAAGCAGGAGCGAGGCACUCUUUCUUGCCCAUGACAGGGCUCUGCAUGACAUGCUGCGCAUGGCUGGAGUCCUGUGUGAAGCUGCUCUGCUCAGGGUCCUCCACCUCUAAAGGAUUCUCCAUGCUAACCUCGUCCAACAGUGUGAGUUAUAAUAAACAUAUUUGGGAAUAAUGUCUUGGAGAGUCAGUGUGUCUCUCUUAGUGAGAUGACAAGGAACCAGCAUCUCCUGGUGUAAAACAACUGCUUCUCAGUUUGUUCCAGCUGGACAUUCCAGUUUUCUGAUGAGGU